RNAcentral lists this unclassified non-coding RNA (1107 nucleotides) under Hevea brasiliensis (rubber tree). Lineage: Eukaryota; Viridiplantae; Streptophyta; Magnoliopsida; Malpighiales; Euphorbiaceae. The record is from RNAcentral.
UCUGCAAAAUGUUUUAAACUGAUCGUAAACGAGCAAAAAGGGCACUCCAAAAUGUGAGGGUCAUUUGCCCUUUACACAACUUAACGACCCAAAAAGGCCUAUAGAAAGAAAACUAGCAAGGACAACUUUCUACAAAGUAUGUCUUGGGAGAAUAUAGCUAAGGUCGGUCUACAAAAUCUUCCAUUUGCGCUCCAUGGCAUUCGUGAUCAUUGAUAUGCAGUAUGCAGCACUCAAUGGAUAAUCUGAAAUUGAUAAAUAAUCUUCAACAUAAUCUUUAUCAAUUUUCCCAUGGGCCAUAGCCCCAACCACAAAGACAAGGUUCAUGUCAUUGUUGACGCCAUUAACAUAGUCCUGAAUAUCCACCAGCUUCUCAGAACUAUGAGAGAAGCCUAUCUUCCGACAGUCGAUGGGUAGGUACUGUGUAACAGGGUUUUUUAUAACACGCAACAGUUUCUCUCGCUUACCAACAGCAGUUAUGCUCAGCUUUUGUAGCAGCUGCAACAUGAUGCCAGAAAAUCUCUUAAAAGUCCUAGGGAUACGAACAUGAGGUUUUACUUCAAAAAGGACACCUUUCUCAGUCCUCACAUACAAAGCUUUCAGUCGCCCAGCUUUAUUUACUCGGCUAUCUAAAAUUGAAAGCAUUGCCUGAUGCGCAAUAUCAGGCCGAUAAUCAGAAGGGUUCCGGCCAUUCUUCUUCAGAAAGUUGGAGUGUUCAUCAGAAUUCAGAAGUUGGUACGUCUUUCCAAUUUUAGCAAUUUCAAGAGAAGCUCUUUCAAUGAUGAAAAUAACACCAGGUUUAUUGGUUUGAUCAGUUGCAACAACAGGAAUGCCAGAUAGUAAAUCUACAACUCUUUCAGCUGCCUCGGUGUCUGCCUCAGAGUGUUCUGUCUUCACUCUUUUUGUUGAUUCCUCCUCUUCCAAAGGUACCUCAAUUUCUUCUUCUUUAUCAUAAUUCUCUCCUUUCUUUUUUCUUUUCUCCCCUUUUACUUUGUAUGCACGCACCAUUUUUGUCACACGUAAAAGUAUCUCGGUAUGUCACUGCCGGAGUUUGAUGCUGCCAAGUGAGUUUUGAUGUAUAAUCCUUCUGUUUGUAGCUGUUGCCGGAGA